UUUUCCAUAACUCUGAGGUGCGAAGUGGUUCUGACCUUUUGGUACAGAGAAGUCAUUGAUGCCCGGCUUCCAGGAAAAGCUGCUAGCCAUAACUUAUAGAGAACCGUACCGCAAACCGACACAGGUGGACAGGUAGAGAAUACUAAGGCGCUUGAGAGAACUCGGGUGAAGGAACUAGGCAAAAUGGUACCGUAACUUCGGGAGAAGGUACGCCCUUUCUGGUGAUGGGAUUUACUUUCAGAGCUGGAGAGGGCCGCAGAGACCAGGUGGCUGCGACUGUUUAUUAAAAACACAGCACUCUGCAAAUUCGUAAGAAGACGUAUAGGGUGUGACGCCUGCCCGGUGCCGGAAGGUUAAUUGAUGGGGUUAUCUUCGGAGAAGCUCUUGAUCGAAGCCCCGGUAAACGGCGGCCGUAACUAUAACGGUCCUAAGGUAGCGAAAUUCCUUGUCGGGUAAGUUCCGACCUGCACGAAUGGCGUAACGAUGGCCACACUGUCUCCACCCGAGACUCAGUGAAAUUGAAAUCGCUGUGAAGAUGCAGUGUACCCGCGGCUAGACGGAAAGACCCCGUGAACCUUUACUAUAGUUUUGCACUGGACUUUGAUGAUGACUGUGUAGGAUAGGUGGGAGGCUGUGAAGUGAGGACGCUAGUUCUCAUGGAGCCGCCCUUGAAAUACCACCCUGUUGUUAUUGAGGUUCUAACUUGGUCCAGUAAUCCUGGAUGAGGACAGUGUAUGAUGGGUAGUUUGACUGGGGCGGUCUCCUCCCAAAGAGUAACGGAGGAGCACAAAGGUACCCUCGGUACGGUCGGACAUCGUACCAAGAGUGUAAAGGCAAAAGGGUGCUUGACUGCGAGAGUGACGGCUCGAGCAGGAACGAAAGUUGGUCUUAGUGAUCCGGUGGUUCUGAAUGGAAGGGCCAUCGCUCAACGGAUAAAAGGUACUCCGGGGAUAACAGGCUGAUACCGCCCAAGAGUUCAUAUCGACGGCGGUGUUUGGCACCUCGAUGUCGGCUCAUCACAUCCUGGGGCUGAAGCAGGUCCCAAGGGUAUGGCUGUUCGCCAUUUAAAGUGGUACGCGAGCUGGGUUUAGAACGUCGUGAGACAGUUCGGUCCCUAUCUGCCGUGGGCGUAGGAAAAUUGAGAGGAGCUGCUCCUAGUACGAGAGGACCGGAGUGGACGAACCUCUGGUGCACCGGUUGUCACGCCAGUGGCAUGGCCGGGUAGCUAAGUUCGGACGGGAUAACCGCUGAAAGCAUCUAAGCGGGAAGCCUCCCUCAAGAUGAGUUUUCCCAUGAAGCCCGUUGAAGACUACGACGUUGAUAGGCAAGGUGUGGAAGCGCAGUAAUGCGUGAAGCUAACUUGUACUAAUUGGCUGAUUGUCUUGACCAU
This 1390-nucleotide ribosomal RNA is filed under the name Legionella pneumophila. RNAcentral describes it as "partial 23S ribosomal RNA". It matches the Rfam family "Bacterial large subunit ribosomal RNA", at positions 1544 to 2925 of the family's 2925-position model. Lineage: Bacteria; Pseudomonadati; Pseudomonadota; Gammaproteobacteria; Legionellales; Legionellaceae. The record is from RNAcentral.